CCCCUACCGUACGACCCCCCAAAACCCCCUCAGAACCCCUUAGUUUUUUGUCAGGUUGGUGCCAAUUGACUGCUCUCGGUGAGAUCUAUCGCUAUGCAAAAUGAUCCGCCUUGGGAACACACUUUGACCGACCGACAUGUGGACAUGUGGACAUGUCACCCGUCCGCCGACAAGUGUCCUGACAGACUGGCCUGCUAUGCAACGGCUUACUCCAAUGUUACUUGAUAGUACGAAAUGAGCUGACGCGUUCAUCCAUGCAAAACCCGCCCGGCACCGGCCUGUCCCUGGCCCGUUCCCCAGGCAUCUUCCAAAAUGCUGACAUGCCGCUCCCCAAAGUACCCCAUACUAUGCAUGUGUGCUAAGUCUGGGGUAUACCUACGCACGCCUCGUUGAGCUGCACCCAUUGUGCCGCGCGCUGCAGGACAGAAGCGCUAGGAACAAAACUUGGCACGAACCUGUGCAAAACCUCUUGGGACCCCCCGACCGACCGACCGACUGGCCACUUUGAGGGGGCAUAACUUUGCACCCAGAAACCCAUUUUCAAUUUUGAAAGCGGAUUCGUGAUUUUCUCCUUGAGCUCUAUCCAUUUGAGGCAUGGGGUCUGUUGCGGAAGAUUCUACCCCCCCCUGUUACAGUUGCACUGUUAGGGCUAGGGCCCGAGUCACGAGAAGACAAGACCGGCAUACAUGCGAACUAACCCCUACCGCUACGCAGUACCCCGGCUUGCCGCUCCCCCCUCAGGCGCUUGCGCUUGAGCCUGGUGAAAGAUGGCCAGCAACAGAAUCGAUAAGGCUACAAGAAGUCCUCUAACAAGUGCGCCCUGAAUAUGCAGCAGCAGCCCGGAGGGGCGUGCAGUUUGCCAUCGGCGAUGCCACAGUUAGGGACAGGGGCGAGCCCUGCACACCGCGUGCACCAGCAGCAGGCAGGAACGAAAGGCAGGGACAAUUGAGAACUAGACAGGUAAAUAAACAUAUUAGGCGAUCGUGCCAGGCCUACAAACAAGAACGCUGGACCAGUCCCCGCAUGGAUCCUCGCUUCUUAGCAGCACUGCUCGCUUCCAAUAAUGCAACAUCUUUGAGAUUAUUCAACUUUUAAAGUUUAAUAAAGUUGACGCAGCGAAAAGACAGUUGAGCUGAAGAGGGUCAGUUGCGGAAAUUUCGCUUAAAUGUCGCGCGGCCUUCGGCCGCGCGUGUAAGCAAAGACCCCAUACCCCAUGCAGCUAAUUAGAGAGCACAAUGUGCCCCCAUAAUUUGCGCAAAUUGCCCAGUGCCGUUGUUUUCCAUUAACUAUGGGAGGGGCCGGGGGCGUAGCCCCCGGGAAAAAAUUUGGAAAUCCCUGGCACAAAACGCUUGAUUUUUGACGUUGGUAAGGAGGGCACGGCGUGCUCCUCCGGGGUCACAACUGCUGGGGGCAGCCGUGGGCAAGACACGCGGUCAGGUAGCCCGGCCCUGCCCGGCCUGCCAUGCUUCUACUGGCUGGGCGCGGGCGCUACACCUCCUCUGCCUCGGACACUCAUGUGUGGCCCUAUCGGGCAAGGAUAGCAGUGUUGGGCCGGACAGAUACGUCUCCUGCAGCGUGAUAAAGGUGGCUGCUGGUCGCCGCCACACCACACCGCUGGACCCCUUGCCCUCGCCCUCGCUCCCCUGCCCCCUGUCUACGCACUGCGCAAAUAUUAAAUGCAAUUAUGAGCUGCAGUGGCUGCUGUAUCGUGGGCCACCGCACCUAGUUACUGCAUAAUCAACCCAAGCUGGGCGUGGGGCGACAGGGGGCAGCAAGGUGGGUACUCGUACUCGCUGGGUACGCGCCUAACUUCUGCGCAAUUUGCGCGGCCUUCGGGCCUUCGGCCGCGCAAGUUCCCCCAACCCCAUUUCAGCAUAAUAACGGCCUCUGGAUCACCCCAUAAUUCCCGCAAUUUGCCUGCCGCAGCCCGCGAAGCCCGCGAUGGGAGUGGACCUGCCCUCUGCCUCUGGUUUUUGCCGUCCGGAAGUUUACUGGAUCCCUUAUGCAUAAAAGACCUCCGACCUUGCGAAGGCCAUAUCAACUGCAAUAUGUAUUCAGCAAUAAAAUCGACUCAGACCGUCUGGGGUGCAUAUUUACCUCCUUUUGGUGUUCUGUGCACGCGCGCCAGCUGCUAACAUUGAGUAGCCUUACUGAUGGGCGCGAAGCUCUCCGCGUGCCUGCGUGGCCCGUCGCGCUCACACGAGCCCAACCACGAUGCGCAGCUGCAGCUUGAAGGCUCGCCGUUU
RNAcentral lists this long non-coding RNA (2246 nucleotides) under Chlamydomonas reinhardtii. RNAcentral's name for it is "long non-coding RNA (CREI_LNC001409)". Lineage: Eukaryota; Viridiplantae; Chlorophyta; Chlorophyceae; Chlamydomonadales; Chlamydomonadaceae. The record is from RNAcentral.